CAGCGCCUGCGCGAGGCGGGCGUACCGUGUGUCGCGGUGAGCGUCGGUUCCACGCCCACGGCGCUGGC
Molecule: transfer RNA, 68 nt
Filed under: Ralstonia sp. SET104
Lineage: Bacteria; Pseudomonadati; Pseudomonadota; Betaproteobacteria; Burkholderiales; Burkholderiaceae
Description: tRNA-Thr
Source: RNAcentral